UCAUUGGGCGUAAAGGGUCCGCAGGUGGCCAAUCAAGUCGGCUGUUAAAGACCGGGGCUUAACUCCGGGCAGGCAGUGGAAACUGAUUAGCUAGAGUACGGUAGGGGUAGAGGGAAUUCCCAGUGUAGCGGUGAAAUGCGUAGAUAUUGGGAAGAACACCGGUGGCGAAAGCGCUCUACUAGGCCGAAACUGACACUGAGGGACGAAAGCUAGGGUAGCGAAAGGGAUUAGAUACCCCUGUAGUCUUAGCUGUAAACGAUGGAUACUAGGUGUAGCUCGUAUCGACCCCAGCUGUGCCGAAGCUAACGCGAUAAGUAUCCCGCCUGGGGAGUACGCACGCAAGUGUGAAACUCAAAGGAAUUGACGGGGGCCCGCACAAGCGGUGGAGUAUGUGGUUUAAUUCGAUGCAACGCGAAGAACCUUACCAGGGCUUGACAUGUCGCGAAUCUAGCGGAAACGUUAGAGUGCCUUAGGGAAUGCGAACACAGGUGGUGCAUGGCUGUCGUCAGCUCGUGUCGUGAGAUGUUGGGUUAAGUCCCGCAACGAGCGCAACCCUCGUCCUUAGUUGCCAAUAUUAAGUUAGGCACUCUAGGGAUACUGCCGGGGACAACUCGGAGGAAGGUGGGGAUGACGUCAAGUCAGCAUGCCCCUUACGUCCUGGGCGACACACGUACUACGAUGGUUGGGACAAAGGGCAGCAAGCUCGCGAGAGUAAGCGAAUCUCAUCAAACCCAGCCACAGUUCAGAUUGCAGGCUGCAACUCGCCUGCAUGAAGUAGGAAUCGCUAGUAAUCGCAGGUCAGCAUACUGCGGUGAAUUCGUUCCCGGGCCUUGUACACACCGCCCGUCACACCAUGGAAGCUGGCUACGCCCGAAGUCGUUACCCUAACCCUAAGGGGAGGGGGAUGCCGAAGGUAGAGCUAGUGACUGGGGUGAAGUCGUAACAAGGUAGCCGUACCUGAAGGUGUGGCUGGAUCACCUCCUUU
RNAcentral lists this ribosomal RNA (985 nucleotides) under uncultured cyanobacterium. RNAcentral's name for it is "bacterial SSU rRNA". It matches the Rfam family "Bacterial small subunit ribosomal RNA", at positions 551 to 1533 of the family's 1533-position model. The record is from RNAcentral. Lineage: Bacteria; Bacillati; Cyanobacteriota.